UCUUCCCUUAUUGACAAUUCCCUGCGUGUUAUUUUGCACUUGAAUUAUUUAGUAAAAUUCCAUUUCUCAACUGUUUGUGUACUGGAACAGCUACCAAUUCCUUAAAACAGCACUAACUUACUGAAAUAUUUAAUAUGUAAACUUUAAUAAUUUAGAGUGGUAAUCUUUAAUAUGUAUUGUGUAUUGGUCAUGGGCUAAUGAUAUGUAAUCUUUAAUUAACAGUUGAGAUAUAGUUUUACACAUUUAACAAAGAAGUUGAAGUGUGUGUUUAAUAUUGUGUAUUGGUUAAAAUAUUAAAUAUGUAAUCUUUAAUAUGUAAUAAUAUGACAGGAGGAGAACUAUUUUGGCAUGUAGAAAACUAAGUCAAUAAUUAUUUCUAACAUGUUAAACUAUUGGUUGAACUGUUUUUGAUGACAUAUAUGACAAAUCAGUUAUCAAUUAUUCCAAUCAAACACAUUUAACAAUAAUAUAGUAAAGGUUCCUUAACUUAAAACCUGUUUCAUCGAGAAAAGCCAUGAUCCAGAGGAUCUUCCUCUAACCAUGAUAGUUCUUCUAAUCUUACUACUGAUCCAUCUGAUUCUUUUGUAUGUCAGAAAGGAUUUCUUGGGCUUUGUGGUGUAAGAACGGAUGCAAUUGACUACUAUAGUGAAAGCAUCUAGGAAAUUGACAAAUACUUAGUAGCAGAGCGUCAGAGAAUUCUCAAAGAAACAAAAGCUAUCAUGCCUGUAGCAUUUGUUUCAUUUGACUCGAGAUGGGCUGGCUGCUAUUUGUGCUCAAACUCAGCAAAGUAGGAACCCGACACGCUGGUUAACUUACUGGGCACCAGAGCCACGCGAUGUUUACUGGAAGAAUCUAGCUAUACCAUUUGUUUCUCUCAUCAUCAGAAAACUGCUUAUAUCAUUAUCUGUGUUUGCUCUGGUAUUCUUUUACAUGAUACCUAUUGCUGACGUGCAGUCACUGGAAAAUCUCGAUAGUCUGGAAAAAAAGGCUACUUUCCUCAGGCCUGUGAUAGAGCUAUGCAAUUGCUUCCAAGCGAGAAAACCUGCAAAGGGAGAUGGAACGGCGGAUAGUAACACAACAUAUGACUUGCAUGGAUGUAUAACAUCACACUCAGUCUUCUGAUGAUUCCCAAAAACAUCUGAGAAGAAGCUUGGUUAUGUUCUUGUUAUCGGAGCAACAAACAAACAAAAUGCAAUUGACCAACCUUUAAGGAGAGCUGGACGGUUUGAUCGUGAUAAGUCUUUGGGUUAACCUGAUGAAAAAACCACUGCUAGAGAUCCUGUCAGUUAUUACUCAAAAAUGUAAAUGUGUGUUUUGGAGAGAGUGGAGUCAAUGAGAUAUAGUUUUAUAUAAUAAUUAUGUCCUUUUGAACUUUUAAGUGUUUCAUAAAAUUACAAGCUGAGUAUUGCAUGAUUGCAAGGUUAGGUGAUCAAUGAAUUCCUAUCGUUCAAUUGCA
Molecule: long non-coding RNA, 1456 nt
Organism: Asparagus officinalis (garden asparagus)
Lineage: Eukaryota; Viridiplantae; Streptophyta; Magnoliopsida; Asparagales; Asparagaceae
Exons: 3
Source: RefSeq, a predicted model, not a curated record